GAGCCUGGGUGCUCAGAGCUGGGCAGAUUG
RNAcentral lists this non-coding RNA (30 nucleotides) under Cricetulus griseus (Chinese hamster). Lineage: Eukaryota; Metazoa; Chordata; Mammalia; Rodentia; Cricetidae. The record is from RNAcentral.